CCUACGGGUGGCAGCAGUGGGGGAUAUUGCACAAUGGGGGGAACCCUGAUGCAGCGACGCCGCGUGGGUGAAGGAGUGCUUCGGCAUGUAAAGCCCUAUCGGCAGGGAAGAAGCAAGACGGUACCUGACUAAGAAGCCCCGGCUAACUACGUGCCAGCAGGCGCGGUAAUACGGAGGGGGCGAGCGUUAGCAGGAUUGACUGGGAGUAAAGGGAGUGUAGACGGCCAUGUAGGCCAGUGGUGAAAGGGUGGGGCCGAACCGCAGAAUGGCCAUGGAAACUGGAAGGCUUGAGUACAGUUGAGGGAGGCGGAACUCGUGGUGUAGCGGGGAAAUGCGUAGAUAUCACGAAGGA
This 352-nucleotide ribosomal RNA is filed under the name uncultured bacterium. RNAcentral describes it as "partial 16S ribosomal RNA". It matches the Rfam family "Bacterial small subunit ribosomal RNA", at positions 338 to 706 of the family's 1533-position model. The record is from RNAcentral.